This 689-nucleotide long non-coding RNA is filed under the name Olea europaea (common olive). Its description in RNAcentral is "long non-coding RNA (OEUR_LNC001331)". Lineage: Eukaryota; Viridiplantae; Streptophyta; Magnoliopsida; Lamiales; Oleaceae. The record is from RNAcentral.
GAGAAAGAUGUAUUCACAAGUUACAACGUUAAGUCCUCCAUAAAGGGAAAACGUAUUGACGUACCAGCCUACCAAGAGAGAGAAAAAGAACCAAGAAAAGAAAAAUCUUAUAUUUCAAGCUAACAGAUCCGUCAAAUGCCAAUCAGAAGCAUUUUUCACUUCAGUUCAUUUCCCAAGAACAAGUUCAUGAACUGAAUCAUUUCAUCAGUCAUCUUAUCAGACAUAGGAUCUCACCUGUAAAUUAGAAGGGAUGAAUUUGAAUGUCACGAAAUCACAUGGAGGCCAGUGCAUAAUACCACUAAUUAUGGUAGGGACAGGAUGACGCUUCAAUUGAGCAAGAAUCUCAGAACUGCUUUUGCCCGAGCAUGGCAACAAACUAAGUCAUAUACUACAAACUCAGAGCAAAUUCAGCUCAUAAUACAAAGAAAUCAUCUAUUCCUCAAACAGUGAAACUGUGUCCAAGAUCUUUUUCUAUCUUCCGAGUUUUAUCAGUAACAUAUUGUUCCAUGGAGCUAAGGUCUAAAAUGUGGAAGAAAGAAUGUGCUGAAAAGUGAACCCACUACUUCAGACAAACAGAAGAAUUCAUAUUGAAUUCUCGUUUUAUAUUUUGGAAGAUGUGCAAGUAUAACUGCAUAUAUUGUUGUUGGGUUCCUAAGCUGAAAUUUUGUAAACAUAAGCUUCUCAUUUAU